AUUUAUUGAGCGCUUAUUCUGUGCCAGGCACUGUGUUAAGCGUUUUGCAGGCAACAACCCUCGGAGCCCUGAGAGGAGCAUACCAUUAUUCUCCUUUUGAUAGAAGAGGCCACAAGACUGGUAAAUGGCAAUCUGGGCAUCCACCAGGAGGAUCUAACUUUAAUGCCAUGUUCCCAUCACCGGAAUGUACAAGCUGAUCCAACUGAACAGAAGAGGAACUGAUGUCCAGAAGUAGGCAGCCCAGGCUGGUACAGUAGCCCCGUGACCAUCAGGGACUCAGGCCCCUUCUACCUGGGGCUCUCCAUCGUCAGCGCAUGCCUUCCACUAGUGACCCAAGACAGCCAAUGGAGGAAGAAGCA
Molecule: long non-coding RNA, 359 nt
Organism: Neomonachus schauinslandi (Hawaiian monk seal)
Lineage: Eukaryota; Metazoa; Chordata; Mammalia; Carnivora; Phocidae
Exons: 3
Source: RefSeq, a predicted model, not a curated record